GGUGGCUUAGUGGUAGAGUGCUUGCCUAGCAUGCAUGAAGCCCUGGGUUCAAUUCCUCAGCACCA
Molecule: non-coding RNA, 65 nt
Organism: Dipodomys ordii (Ord's kangaroo rat)
Lineage: Eukaryota; Metazoa; Chordata; Mammalia; Rodentia; Heteromyidae
Source: Rfam